Molecule: small nuclear RNA, 102 nt
Organism: Nannospalax galili (Upper Galilee mountains blind mole rat)
Lineage: Eukaryota; Metazoa; Chordata; Mammalia; Rodentia; Spalacidae
Source: Ensembl
GUGCUUGCCAGCACACUUACUAAAAUUGGAACGAUAUAGAGAAGAUUAGCAUGGCCUCUGCACAAGGAUGACAGGCAAAUUCACGAAGCGGUCCAUGUUUUU